This 253-nucleotide ribosomal RNA is filed under the name uncultured bacterium. RNAcentral describes it as "partial 16S ribosomal RNA". It matches the Rfam family "Bacterial small subunit ribosomal RNA", at positions 524 to 776 of the family's 1533-position model. The record is from RNAcentral.
UACGUAGGGGGCAAGCGUUGUCCGGAUUUAUUGGGCGUAAAGAGCGUGUAGGCGGCCACACAGGUCUGCUGUGAAAACUCGAGGCUCAACCUCGAGCUGUCGGUGGAAACCGUGUGGCUAGAGUCCGGAAGAGGAGAGUGGAAUUCCCGGUGUAGCGGUGAAAUGCGCAGAUAUCAGGAGGAACACCAAUGGCGAAGGCAGCUCGCUGGGACGGUACUGACGCUGAGGCGCGAAAGCGUGGGGAGCAAACAGG